Molecule: long non-coding RNA, 114 nt
Organism: Gopherus evgoodei (Goodes thornscrub tortoise)
Lineage: Eukaryota; Metazoa; Chordata; Testudines; Testudinidae
Exons: 3
Source: RefSeq, a predicted model, not a curated record
AAGAAAUGAAAAACUUAUCUUAUGAAAGGAAACUCAAAGAGCUUGGGUUGUUUAGCCUAACCAUACAAAGGCUAAGGGAAGAUAUGAUUGCUCUCUAUAAAUAUACCAGAGGGA